UGCAUGUGUGAAGAGCUUGCAUCACAGGGA
Molecule: non-coding RNA, 30 nt
Filed under: Homo sapiens (human)
Lineage: Eukaryota; Metazoa; Chordata; Mammalia; Primates; Hominidae
Source: RNAcentral